RNAcentral lists this transfer-messenger RNA (280 nucleotides) under Streptomyces phage Muntaha. RNAcentral describes it as "Hypothetical Protein". It matches the Rfam family "transfer-messenger RNA". From Rfam's summary of the family: Bacterial tmRNA, also known as 10Sa RNA or SsrA, is named for its dual tRNA and mRNA-like properties. The record is from RNAcentral. Lineage: Duplodnaviria; Heunggongvirae; Uroviricota; Caudoviricetes; Stanwilliamsviridae.
GGGGCUGUCUCUGGUUUCGACGGCGCUGAAUAAUAUACGGAUGCAACUCUUCUCGGUCAAAGAAGUAAAAAGGGCCAAAACAAUAAAUGCAAACUCUCGUAACGCAUUCGCUCUAGCUGCGUAAGCAGUAGGGCCGGGUUAGUCGGAGACCUAGGAACAGAAUGUCCGACCCAAAAUUGCAACACUUAGCACGACACGCUGUACCAAAUGAUUGACAUGGUUGUGCACCAUCUGUAUAUUUGAAAGUGGCGGACAGGGGUUCGACUCCCCUCAGCUCCAC